AUUGAACGCUGGCGGCAGGCUUAACACAUGCAAGUCGAACGGUAACAUAAAGAAGCUUGCUUCUUUGAUGACGAGUGGCGGACGGGUGAGUAAUGCUUGGGAAUCUAGCUUAUGGAGGGGGAUAACUACGGGAAACUGUAGCUAAUACCGCGUAAUAUCGAAAGAUUAAAGUGUGGGACCUUCGGGCCACAUGCCAUAGGAUGAGCCCAAGUGGGAUUAGGUAGUUGGUGAGGUAAAGGCUCACCAAGCCGACGAUCUCUAGCUGGUCUGAGAGGAUGACCAGCCACACUGGGACUGAGACACGGCCCAGACUCCUACGGGAGGCAGCAGUGGGGAAUAUUGCGCAAUGGGGGCAACCCUGACGCAGCCAUGCCGCGUGAAUGAAGAAGGCCUUCGGGUUGUAAAGUUCUUUCGGUAGCGAGGAAGGCAUUUAGUUUAAUAGACUAAGUGAUGACGUAACUACAGAAAGC
RNAcentral lists this ribosomal RNA (470 nucleotides) under Streptococcus sp. oral taxon C14. Its description in RNAcentral is "bacterial SSU rRNA". It matches the Rfam family "Bacterial small subunit ribosomal RNA", at positions 30 to 491 of the family's 1533-position model. Lineage: Bacteria; Bacillati; Bacillota; Bacilli; Lactobacillales; Streptococcaceae. The record is from RNAcentral.